RNAcentral lists this ribosomal RNA (434 nucleotides) under uncultured Blautia sp. RNAcentral's name for it is "partial 16S ribosomal RNA". It matches the Rfam family "Bacterial small subunit ribosomal RNA", at positions 341 to 792 of the family's 1533-position model. Lineage: Bacteria; Bacillati; Bacillota; Clostridia; Lachnospirales; Lachnospiraceae. The record is from RNAcentral.
ACGGAAGGCAGCAGUGGGGAAUAUUGCACAAUGGGGGAAACCCUGAUGCAGCGACGCCGCGUGAAGGAAGAAGUAUCUCGGUAUGUAAACUUCUAUCAGCAGGGAAGAAAAUGACGGUACCUGACUAAGAAGCCCCGGCUAACUACGUGCCAGCAGCCGCGGUAAUACGUAGGGGGCAAGCGUUAUCCGGAUUUACUGGGUGUAAAGGGAGCGUAGACGGAAUUGCAAGUCUGAUGUGAAAGGCAUGGGCUCAACCUGUGGACUGCAUUGGAAACUGUGAUUCUUGAGUGCCGGAGGGGUAAGCGGAAUUCCUGGUGUAGCGGUGAAAUGCGUAGAUAUCAGGAGGAACACCGGUGGCGAAGGCGGCUUACUGGACGGCAACUGACGUUGAGGCUCGAAGGCGUGGGGAGCAAGCAGGAUUAGAUACCCUGGUA